GAUGAACGCUGGCGGCAUGCCUAACACAUGCAAGUCGAUCGGUAAGGCUCUUCGGAGUACACGAGAGGCGGACGGCUGAGUAACGCGUAGGAACACACCCUACAGUGAGGGAUAAGACACCGAAAGGUGUUCUAAUACCGCAUACGGUCUUCGGAUUAAAGCAUUUAUGCACUGAAGGAGUGGCCUGCGUCAUAUUAGAUAGUUGGUGAGGUAAUGGCUCACCAAGUCGAUGAUGUGUAGCUGGUCUGAGAGGAUGAUCAGCCAGACUGGAACUGAGACACGGUCCAGACUCCUACGGGAGGCAGCAGUGAGGAAUAUUUCACAAUGAGCGAAAGCUUGAUGGAGCAAUGCCGCGUGCAGGAUGAAGGCCCUCGGGUUGUAAACUGCUUUUAUAAGAGAAGAUUAUGACGGUAACUUAUGAAUAAGGGACGGCUAACUACGUG
Molecule: ribosomal RNA, 443 nt
Filed under: uncultured bacterium
Lineage: Bacteria
Description: partial 16S ribosomal RNA
Rfam family: Bacterial small subunit ribosomal RNA
Source: RNAcentral